GAUGAACGCUGGCGGCGUGCCUAAUACAUGCAAGUCGAGCGAACAGACGAGGAGCUUGCUCCUCUGACGUUAGCGGCGGACGGGUGAGUAACACGUGGAUAACCUACCUAUAAGACUGGGAUAACUUCGGGAAACCGGAGCUAAUACCGGAUAACAUGUUGAACCGCAUGGUUCAACAGUGAAAGACGGUCUUGCUGUCACUUAUAGAUGGAUCCGCGCCGCAUUAGCUAGUUGGUAAGGUAACGGCUUACCAAGGCAACGAUGCGUAGCCGACCUGAGAGGGUGAUCGGCCACACUGGAACUGAGACACGGUCCAGACUCCUACGGGAGGCAGCAGUAGGGAAUCUUCCGCAAGGGGCGAAAGCCUGACGGAGCAACGCCGCGUGAGUGAAGAAGGUCUUCGGAUCGUAAAACUCUGUUAUUAGGGAAGAACAAAUGUGUAAGUAACGAUGCACGUCUUGACGGUACCUAAUCAGAAAGCCACGGCUAACUACGU
RNAcentral lists this ribosomal RNA (496 nucleotides) under uncultured bacterium. RNAcentral describes it as "partial 16S ribosomal RNA". It matches the Rfam family "Bacterial small subunit ribosomal RNA", at positions 28 to 506 of the family's 1533-position model. The record is from RNAcentral.